GAUGAACGCUGGCGGCGUGCCUAAUACAUGCAAGUCGAGCGAACAGACGAGGAGCUUGCUCCUCUGACGUUAGCGGCGGACGGGUGAGUAACACGUGGAUAACCUACCUAUAAGACUGGGAUAACUUCGGGAAACCGGAGCUAAUACCGGAUAAUAUAUUGAACCGCAUGGUUCAAUAGUGAAAGACGGUUUUGCUGUCACUUAUAGAUGGAUCCGCGCCGCAUUAGCUAGUUGGUAAGGUAACGGCUUACCAAGGCAACGAUGCGUAGCCGACCUGAGAGGGUGGAAGGAGACAGGGGCACUGAGACACGGUGGAGACUACUAAGGGAGGGAGCAGGAGGGAGGCGUCAGGAAGUGGAGAAAGUGGGACGGCGAAAAGAAGAGGGAGGGAUGAAGGUACUAGGAUCUAAAAACGUGGGUAUUAGGGAAGAACAAAUGUGUACGUAACUAUGCACGACUGAAGGGGAGCUAAUAAGAAAGCCACGGCUAGCUAAGUG
RNAcentral lists this ribosomal RNA (497 nucleotides) under uncultured bacterium. Its description in RNAcentral is "partial 16S ribosomal RNA". It matches the Rfam family "Bacterial small subunit ribosomal RNA", at positions 28 to 507 of the family's 1533-position model. The record is from RNAcentral.